This is a long non-coding RNA of Nyctereutes procyonoides (raccoon dog), 1001 nucleotides long. RefSeq lists it as uncharacterized. The transcript is spliced from 5 exons. The record is from RefSeq and is a predicted model, not a curated record. Lineage: Eukaryota; Metazoa; Chordata; Mammalia; Carnivora; Canidae.
UCCUGAGUCAGCCAAGGAAAAAGUGCUUUGGCACAUGAUAGAAUGUGUGAGUAUUUACACCAGGCAUUUUAAACUCAUUUUCAGCUGACUCAAAACAUCAACCAAAAAUAUUUGUGGGGCAAUAGAAUAUAAUUGGCCACAAUUGAGGGUGCAAAGAAGAGAAAUACCCAAUGGAGAACAGGAAAGAAACCUCGAUAGGGAACUUAUCUAAUUAAGCUUCCCUAACUCUGCAUUCAGAAAGCUUUAUUCUGACCUAACGCUGUGUCCGUUUUCUCACCUUAUCAGAUCUGAGGUCUGGUGUGAUUUUCUUUCCACGUUGGCUGAACUGAUGAUGCAAAGGAAAACAAAAAUAAAGGUCUCACGAAAAGCCAACUAGUGAUUGCCAGCGGCUAAGACAAGGAGUGUGAGGCAGGACUGAGUAAUGGGAACUUAAUACAUGCAAAGCACAGUGCUAGAGAUAGUUUAUUAAAAUGAGCUCUUGCUUCAAGGAGUCUUAGGAUGAAGACACAAUGCAAAUGGCUUAUUACAACACAGGCAGGCCUGUUUCCUACCAUCACUGGCCAGAGGAGAUAUAUGCAUCCUGGACCCAUGCAUUCUAGCUAUUGGAGAGAAAGCCAUGUGUCAUCCUGGAAGACAAUGCCCAGCCCCACAAGAACUUUCAACUGUCAUGUAAGAAGUUUGGCCAUCCAGAGGGGUAAUCACAUACCUGGAUGACAGACAUGUGAAUGAAGAAGACUUUGAGAUGAUCUCAGCCCCAGCCAUUGUCUGGCCACAGCCACCUGAGAGACCUGGAUGUUGUGAGAACUGCUUAGCUGAGCCCAGUAUCUCCAGAAUCAUGAGUAAAACAACUGUGAUAGAUUUGAGCCACUGUUUUGAGGGGAUUUGUUGUGCUCCUAUGUAUGGAGACAAGCAAUAAAAUGAAGAUGGGAAUAAGGACUUUAAAUGAAGAGUUUACAGUUCAAAGGACUUGAAAUUUAUAUUUCAAAUGUCACUUCCAAAUG